This 214-nucleotide ribosomal RNA is filed under the name Streptomyces sp. M1013. RNAcentral's name for it is "partial 16S ribosomal RNA". It matches the Rfam family "Bacterial small subunit ribosomal RNA", at positions 1 to 216 of the family's 1533-position model. The record is from RNAcentral. Lineage: Bacteria; Bacillati; Actinomycetota; Actinomycetes; Kitasatosporales; Streptomycetaceae.
CAUUCACGGAGAGUUUGAUCCUGGCUCAGGACGAACGCUGGCGGCGUGCUUAACACAUGCAAGUCGAACGAUGAACCACUUCGGUGGGGAUUAGUGGCGAACGGGUGAGUAACACGUGGGCAAUCUGCCCUGCACUCUGGGACAAGCCCUGGAAACGGGGUCUAAUACCGGAUACUGAUCCGCCUGGGCAUCCAGGCGGUUCGAAAGCUCCGGC